RNAcentral lists this ribosomal RNA (496 nucleotides) under uncultured bacterium. RNAcentral describes it as "partial 16S ribosomal RNA". It matches the Rfam family "Bacterial small subunit ribosomal RNA", at positions 29 to 507 of the family's 1533-position model. The record is from RNAcentral.
AUGAACGCUGGCGGCGUGCCUCAUCCAUGCAAGUCGAGCGAACAGACGAGGAGCUUGCUCCUCUGACGUUAGCGGCGGACGGGUGAGUAACACGUGGAUAACCUACCUAUAAGACUGGGAUAACUUCGGGAAACCGGAGCUAAUACCGGAUAACAUGUUGAACCGCAUGGUUCAACAGUGAAAGACGGUCUUGCUGUCACUUAUAGAUGGAUCCGCGCCGCAUUAGCUAGUUGGUAAGGUAACGGCUUACCAAGGCAACGAUGCGUAGCCGACCUGAGAGGGUGAUCGGCCACACUGGAACUGAGACACGGUCCAGACUCCUACGGGAGGCAGCAGUAGGGAAUCUUCCGCAAUGGGCGAAAGCCUGACGGAGCAACGCCGCGUGAGUGAAGAAGGUCUUCGGAUCGUAAAACUCUGUUAUUAGGGAAGAACAAAUGUGUAAGUAACUAUGCACGUCUUGACGGUACCUAAUCAGAAAGCCACGGCUAACUACGUG